UAGACUUUAUUAAGUGACAGAAAGCGCUCAGUAAGGAGAGGGGACUCAAAAGUGGGUUGCCCUAGGGGAUUAAAAACCUCAUUUCUAGGGGUGUGUUUCUCAUUUGCAUCUUGCACAACCUUUUACUUCCUAGUUGCUUCCUGGUCCCAGUUCUUACUGCCCAGGUGCGUUCUUGUCCAUAGUUAUUCCAUCUUAAUUAUUAUGCAUAAGCACCACAGAAAGGCCCAGUGGGUAGUAGGGGUGGUGGUGGUGAAACCACAAUGCAGAUGUCAUGCUAAUGAUAUUAUAAUGAGCUUGAGUCAAGUUAAGGACAUUUAGUUGAUUUAUUACACCUGCGCCUAAGUUGGGACAGUCCCUUCUGAGCAAACAUUCUGGUAUAAGAGGAAGUUCUUAACCACAUUUCCAUCUGCUAGCUGCAUAACAGGGGCAAUGCAGGUGCAUUCCUGCAUGCAUUGUCUCUCUCAUGAAGCCCUACAUCUCCAUCGUACCACUUGCAUACAUAAAAAAGCUUGGUAGACACUUGUGCACUGUAUGAGUCCGUUUUCAUGCUCCUGAUAAAGACAUACCCCAGACUGAGAAGAAAAAGAGGUUUAAUUGGACUUACAGUUCCACAUGGCUGGAGAGGCCUCAGAGACAUGGUGGGAGGCAAAAAGCACUUCUUACAUAGCGGCAACAGGAGAAAAUGAGGAAGAAGCAAAAGCGGAAACGCUGAUAAACCCAUCAGAUCAGGUUAAAGACUUAAACCUAAGACCU
RNAcentral lists this long non-coding RNA (753 nucleotides) under Homo sapiens (human). RNAcentral describes it as "HSALNT0297254". The record is from RNAcentral. Lineage: Eukaryota; Metazoa; Chordata; Mammalia; Primates; Hominidae.